Molecule: ribosomal RNA, 253 nt
Filed under: uncultured bacterium
Lineage: Bacteria
Description: partial 16S ribosomal RNA
Rfam family: Bacterial small subunit ribosomal RNA
Source: RNAcentral
UACGUAGGGUGCGAGCGUUAAUCGGAAUUACUGGGCGUAAAGCGUGCGCAGGCGGUUUUGUAAGACAGAGGUGAAAUCCCCGGGCUCAACCUGGGAACUGCCUUUGUGACUGCAAGGCUGGAGUACGGCAGAGGGGGAUGGAAUUCCGCGUGUAGCAGUGAAAUGCGUAGAUAUGCGGAGGAACACCGAUGGCGAAGGCAAUCCCCUGGGCCUGUACUGACGCUCAUGCACGAAAGCGUGGGGAGCAAACAGG